RNAcentral lists this ribosomal RNA (253 nucleotides) under uncultured bacterium. RNAcentral's name for it is "partial 16S ribosomal RNA". It matches the Rfam family "Bacterial small subunit ribosomal RNA", at positions 524 to 776 of the family's 1533-position model. The record is from RNAcentral.
UACGUAGGGGGCAAGCGUUGUCCGGAUUUACUGGGCGUAAAGAGCGCGUAGGCGGAAGGUUAAGCGUGGCUUGAAAGCCCCCGGCUCAACCGGGGAGGGCGGCUGCGAACUGGCCUUCUUGAGGUCGAUAGAGGAGAGCGGAAUUCCUGGUGUAGCGGUGAAAUGCGUAGAUAUCAGGAGGAACACCCGUGGCGAAGGCGGCUCUCUGGGUCGGACCUGACGCUGAGGCGCGAAAGCGUGGGGAGCGAACGGG